Molecule: ribosomal RNA, 482 nt
Filed under: uncultured bacterium
Lineage: Bacteria
Description: partial 16S ribosomal RNA
Rfam family: Bacterial small subunit ribosomal RNA
Source: RNAcentral
AUUGAACGCUGGCGGCAUGAUUUACACAUGCAAGUCGAACGGUAACAGGCCGCAAGGUGCUGACGAGUGGCGAACGGGUGAGUAAUGCAUCGGAACGUGCCCAGUCGUGGGGGAUAACUACUCGAAAGAGUAGCUAAUACCGCAUACGAUCUAUGGAUGAAAGCGGGGGACCGUAAGGCCUCGCGCGAUUGGAGCGGCCGAUGUCAGAUUAGGUAGUUGGUGGGGUAAAGGCUCACCAAGCCAACGAUCUGUAGCUGGUCUGAGAGGACGACCAGCCACACUGGGACUGAGACACGGCCCAGACUCCUACGGGAGGCAGCAGUGGGGAAUUUUGGAUAAUGGGCGCAAGCCUGAUCCAGCAAUGCCGCGUGCAGGAAGAAGGCCUUCGGGUUGUAAACUGCUUUUGUACGGAACGAAACGGCUCUGGUUAAUACCCGGGGCUAAUGACGGUACCGUAAGAAUAAGCACCGGCUAACUACGUG